AACACCUUAAGCAUACACGUAAUACGACGCCGUAUGAUGUAUAGGGAUAGUCGGGGGCGUCAGUAUUCAGCUGUCAGAGGUGAAAUUCUUGGAUUUGCUGAAGACUAACUACUGCGAAAGCAUUCGCCAAGGAUGUUUUCAUUAAUCAGGGAACGAAAGUUAGGGGAUCGAAGACGAUCAGAUACCGUCGUAGUCUUAACCAUAAACUAUGCCGACUAGGGAUCGGACGGUGUUUCUAUUAUGACCCGUUCGGCACCUUACGAGAAAUCAAAGUUUUUGGGUUCUGGGGGGAGUAUGGUCGCAAGGCUGAAACUUAGAGAAAUUGACGGAAGGGCACCACCAGGCGUGGAGCCUGCGGCUUAAUUUGACUCACCACGGGGAAACUCACCAGGUCCAGACAAAAUAAGGAUUGACAGAUUGAGAGCUCUUUCUUGAUCUUUUGGAUGGUGGUGCAUGGCCGUUCUUAGUUGGUGGAGUGAUUUGUCUGCUUAAUUGCGAUAACAAACGAAACCUCGGCCCUUAAAUAGCCCGGUCCGCAUUUGCGGGCCGCUGGCUUCUUAUGGGGACUAUCGGCUCAGGCCAAUGGAAGUGCGCGGCAAUAACAGGUCUGUGAUGCCCUUUAUGUUCUGGGCCGCACGCGCGCUACACUGACAAGGCCAGCGAGUACAUCACCUUGGCCGAGAGGUCUGGGUAAUCUUGUUAAACCCUGUCGUGCUGGGGAUAGCCGUUGACUUUAAAUUA
RNAcentral lists this ribosomal RNA (741 nucleotides) under Aspergillus niger. RNAcentral's name for it is "SSU rRNA". It matches the Rfam family "Eukaryotic small subunit ribosomal RNA", at positions 832 to 1592 of the family's 1831-position model. The record is from RNAcentral. Lineage: Eukaryota; Fungi; Ascomycota; Eurotiomycetes; Eurotiales; Aspergillaceae.